This 292-nucleotide ribosomal RNA is filed under the name uncultured bacterium. RNAcentral's name for it is "partial 16S ribosomal RNA". It matches the Rfam family "Bacterial small subunit ribosomal RNA", at positions 505 to 796 of the family's 1533-position model. The record is from RNAcentral.
GUGUCAGCCGCCGCGGUAAUACGGGGGGUGCGAGCGUUGUCCGGAAUCACUGGGCGUAAAGGGCGCGUAGGUGGUCUUAUAAGGGUGUGGUGAAAGCCCGGGGCUCAACCCCGGGUCGGCCGUGCCGACUGUAAGACUCGAGUGCUGUAGGGGCAGGCGGAAUUCCGGGUGUAGCGGUGGAAUGCGUAGAGAUCCGGAGGAAGACCGGUGGCGAAGGCGGCCUGCUGGGCAGUUACUGACACUGAGGCGCGACAGCGUGGGGAGCAAACAGGAUUAGAAACCCUCGUAGUCC